Molecule: small RNA, 690 nt
Filed under: Pongo abelii (Sumatran orangutan)
Lineage: Eukaryota; Metazoa; Chordata; Mammalia; Primates; Hominidae
Description: processed transcript
Source: RNAcentral
UCUUCCUUGCUCUCCUGGGAGCUGCUACCGAAUCCAAGUGCGUCUUGGAGAAUACAACAUUAAGGUCUAUGAAGGCAAUGAACAAUUCAUAAAUGCAGCCAAGAUUAUUUGCCACCCGAAGUAUAACUCAGCCACCAUUGAUAAUGACAUCAUGCUGAUUAAGCUGAGCUCAGCCACCACCAUCAACUCUCAAGUGGCCACCAUCUCUCUGCCAAGAUCCUGUGCAGCGGCUGGUACUCAGUGCCUCAUCUCUGGCUGGGGCAACACCCUGAGCAGUGGCAGUAAGUGUCGCCUGAAACAGAAAUACCAAAUAUGACCAUUUUAGAGCUGAAAGACAUGUGGAAAGUUAGCUAGUCCAAACUCACUUAAGGCUAAGUUCCCAGAGCAUAGUUUUUGGAUAUAUGGAAUCUCAGAAAUAUACUAUUAAUAAUUGAAAUGAAGAAGAUUCCUUUGCUGGAACCAUGCAGAAGACACAAUAAUGAAGUACUAUGAAGAUAUCAGGGUAUUUAACUGAAGUGUGAUUAGUGAUGGGCAGAGAACUAUAAACUGAGGAGUGUCUGAAGGCUCCCAUUCUAACACUGCUUGCCGCACAGCCUACCCAGGCAAGAUUACUACAAACAUGAUAUGUCUGGGAUUCCUGGAGGGUGGAAAGGACUCUUGCCAGGGUGACUCUGGUUGCCCUGUGGUCUG